Long non-coding RNA from Rhineura floridana, 360 nucleotides. RefSeq lists it as uncharacterized. The record is from RefSeq and is a predicted model, not a curated record. Lineage: Eukaryota; Metazoa; Chordata; Lepidosauria; Squamata; Rhineuridae. The transcript has 2 exons.
UAAGGUUCUGUGCUUAACCCCCAGUAUCAAGGCAGAUCAUGGGCUUGGAAAACCUCCUCCUGAGAUGCUAGAAAGCCACAACCAAGAAAAUGCUAGGCCAAGAUGGGCCAAUGUCAGACUCUCCAAAUAAGAAAAUGGUGUUUGGAAUCUCCUUUUAUGUGAUUUCUCCUGUUCUGCUGGUUUCUGCAGAAGGAUGAUGACAUCAGAUGUACCAACUUAUCUCAGACAGCCCAUCAGAACUGAAAAGUUGUCAAUUAGAAUUGUCAGCCGAAUAGGAAAUAAUUACAACAUGGGAAAAGCUAUUCCAUGAAAUUAUGAAACUCCUUUCUUGUACGAUGAAUCAUUUCCUGCCCUUUCUCU